This 439-nucleotide ribosomal RNA is filed under the name Osmia proxima. Its description in RNAcentral is "partial 12S ribosomal RNA". The record is from RNAcentral. Lineage: Eukaryota; Metazoa; Arthropoda; Insecta; Hymenoptera; Megachilidae.
ACUAGGAUUUGAUACCCUAUUAUAUUAAUUAAAAAAUAAAUUAUAAAUUAAAUGUAAAUCAUUAAAAUUAUAAGAUAUGGCGGUUAUAUAAAAUUUUAGGGGAACUUGUAUAUUAAUUCGAUAUUCCACGAUAAGAGUUACUAAUAAGAUUUAAAAUUAUUUUUGUAUUGUUGUUUAAAUGAUUUUGUAUAAAUAUUAGAAUUUAAAUUUUAUUAAAUUGUAAAAAUAAUUCAAAUCAAAAUAAAGUAUUUAUUAGAUAAUAUGAGUUACAUUAAUAAUAAAUUUUAUGAAUUAAUAUUUAUAAUAAUAUUUAUGAAAAAGGAUUUAAAAGUAAAAUUAAUAAAAUAAAUUAAUUUGAAUUUUAUUUAUAUAAUGUACAAAUUGCCCGUCAAUUUCAAUAAAAUUUGAAGUAAGUCGAAACAAAGUAAGAGUAUUGGAA